GGCGCGAUAGCAAAUCGGUUAUGCAGUGGAUUGCAAAUCCAUUUAGCCCAGUUCGACUCUGGGUCGCGCCUCCA
RNAcentral lists this transfer RNA (74 nucleotides) under Gammaproteobacteria bacterium. RNAcentral describes it as "tRNA-Cys". It matches the Rfam family "tRNA". Rfam says of the family: Transfer RNA (tRNA) molecules are approximately 80 nucleotides in length. Lineage: Bacteria; Pseudomonadati; Pseudomonadota; Gammaproteobacteria. RNAcentral also lists the same sequence under 3 other names. The record is from RNAcentral.